GGCAGAUAUGGGAAUAUGGACAACCUGAUCUGAGCCCAGCCCUGACCAGCCUCCCCCAACAGAACGCCUGUGCCGCCACUGUCCCAAGGACUGGACAUUCUUCCAAGGAAACUGUUACUUCAUGUCUAACUCCCAGCGGAACUGGCACAACUCCGUAACCGCCUGCCGGGAAGUGAGGGCCCAGCUCGUCGUAAUCAAAAGUGCUGAGGAGCAGAACUUCCUACAGCUGCAGACUUCCAGAAGUAACCGCUUCUCCUGGAUGGGACUUUCAGACCUAAAUCAGGAAGGCACGUGGCAAUGGGUGGACGGCUCACCUCUGUCACCCAGCUUCCAGCGAUACUGGAACAGUGGAGAACCCAACAAUAGUGGGAAUGAAGACUGUGCGGAAUUUAGUGGCAGUGGCUGGAACGACAAUCGAUGUGACAUUGACAAUUACUGGAUCUGCAAAAAGCCCGCAGUCUGCUUCAGAGACGAAUAGUUGCUUCCCUGCUGGCCUCGGCCUCCAUUGUGGUAUAGCAGAACUUCACCCACUUGUAAGCCAGCGUUCCUUCUCUCCAUCCUUGGACCUUCACAAAUGCCCUGAGACGGUUCUCUGUUCGAUUUUUCAU
RNAcentral lists this small RNA (608 nucleotides) under Pan troglodytes (chimpanzee). RNAcentral describes it as "retained intron". Lineage: Eukaryota; Metazoa; Chordata; Mammalia; Primates; Hominidae. The record is from RNAcentral.